This 253-nucleotide ribosomal RNA is filed under the name uncultured bacterium. Its description in RNAcentral is "partial 16S ribosomal RNA". It matches the Rfam family "Bacterial small subunit ribosomal RNA", at positions 524 to 776 of the family's 1533-position model. The record is from RNAcentral.
UACGUAGGUGGCAAGCGUUGUCCGGAUUUAUUGGGUUUAAAGGGUGCGUAGGCGGCCCCGUAAGUCAGUGGUGAAAUAUCGCAGCUCAACUGUGAGGGUGCCAUUGAUACUGCGGGGCUUGAGUGGAGUCGGGGUGGUCGGAAUUUACGGUGUAGCGGUGAAAUGCAUAGAUACCGUAAAGAACACCGAUAGCGAAGGCAGGCCACUGGGCUCCAACUGACGCUGAGGCACGAAAGCGUGGGGAUCAAACAGG